GAUGAACGCUGGCGGCGUGCCUUAUACAUGCAAGUCGAGUGGGUUUAGACCCACGGCAAACGGGUGAGUAACACGUAGGUACUUUCCUUGUCACAGGAAUAACCCUCCGAAAGGAGGGCUAAUACCUGAUGUGAUCGCAAGAUUAAAGGGUAUCCGCAAGGAUUACCGGACAAGAAGAGGCCUGCGGCCUAUCAGCUAGUUGGCGGGGUAAAUGCCCACCAAGGCUAUGACGGGUAGCUGGUCUUAUGAGGAUGAUCAGUCACAUGGGCACUGAGACACGGGCCCAACCCCUACGGGAGGCAGCAGGAGGGAAUUUUGCGCAAUGGGCGAAAGCCUGACGCAGCGACGCCGCGUGGGGGAUGAAGGCCUUCGGGUCGUAAACCGCUUUUAAAAGGGACGAACUUUGACGGUACCUUAGGAAUAAGGGGUUGCUAACUCUGU
Molecule: ribosomal RNA, 441 nt
Filed under: uncultured bacterium
Lineage: Bacteria
Description: partial 16S ribosomal RNA
Rfam family: Bacterial small subunit ribosomal RNA
Source: RNAcentral